GCCUGGGUGGCUUAGUUGGUUGAGUGUCCGACUUCAGCUCAGGUCAUGAUCUCACAGUUCGUGGGUUCGAGCCCCACGUUGGGCU
Molecule: transfer RNA, 85 nt
Filed under: Felis catus (domestic cat)
Lineage: Eukaryota; Metazoa; Chordata; Mammalia; Carnivora; Felidae
Rfam family: tRNA
About the family: Transfer RNA (tRNA) molecules are approximately 80 nucleotides in length.
Source: Rfam by way of RNAcentral